AAGACCAUCCAAUUUAUUGGCCACAUUUCAAAGAUUGCAUCGGUGCGAUUGAUGGCACACACGUGAUAGCGGUUGUACCUAUUGAGAAGUCCAUUCUAUACUUUGGAAGAAAGGGAUAUCUAACCCAAAAUGUGAUGGUUACAUGUGACUUUGAUAUGCUAUUCACAUUUGUUUUGCUUGGAUGGGAAGGUGCAACACAUGACACUUCCAUUUUUCUUGAUACUAUUCGUAAACAAAGUAACAACUCUCUGCACCCACCACCAGGGAAAUAUUAUGUAGUUGUUUUUGGAUACCCAAUGAUGAAAGGCUAUUUGGCACCAUACAAAGGGAUAUCAUACCAUCUUCAGGAAUUUCAAAGGAGAGGUGGAAGCCCUAGAACUAGACAUAAAAAAUUUAAUUAUACUCACUCAUCUCUUCGAUGUACGAUUGAGCGCACUUUUGGUGUGUGGAAGAAUAAAUGAAGAAUUAUCAGAAACAUGCAAUUUUUUCCAUUUCAUAUCCAAAUACUUAUUGUAUCUGUUACUAUGGCUCUUCAUAAUUUUGUUAGACUAAAUGAUAGAGAUGAUAGGGGCUUCAUAAACGCCAAUAGAAAUUCAAUUUCUAGAAGAGAACAUAAUAGUGAAGCAGGUAGCAGUUAUGAGCAGAACUCAGGAACUUUAACAAACCCUAUGAUGGUGGUUAUUCGUGAUUCCAUUGCUAAUUCCAUUUAGGGGGAUAAUAAUUAGUAGUUGUCUAUUUUUUUUUUUUUUUUAAUAUCAUGUAGUACAAUUUAAACUUGGGUUAUUGGUUUGUAUUUUAUCAUCU
Molecule: long non-coding RNA, 804 nt
Organism: Quercus robur (English oak)
Lineage: Eukaryota; Viridiplantae; Streptophyta; Magnoliopsida; Fagales; Fagaceae
Exons: 3
Source: RefSeq, a predicted model, not a curated record